RNAcentral lists this ribosomal RNA (938 nucleotides) under uncultured Rhodocyclaceae bacterium. RNAcentral's name for it is "bacterial SSU rRNA". It matches the Rfam family "Bacterial small subunit ribosomal RNA", at positions 56 to 988 of the family's 1533-position model. The record is from RNAcentral. Lineage: Bacteria; Pseudomonadati; Pseudomonadota; Betaproteobacteria; Rhodocyclales; Rhodocyclaceae.
UGCAAGUCGAACGGCAGCACGGACUUCGGUCUGGUGGCGAGUGGCGAACGGGUGAGUAAUGCAUCGGAAUGUACCGUGUAAUGGGGGAUAACUAGCCGAAAGGAUAGCUAAUACCGCAUACGCCCCGAGGGGGAAAGCAGGGGAUCUUCGGACCUUGCGUUAUACGAGCAGCCGAUGUCCGAUUAGCUAGUUGGUAGGGUAAAGGCCUACCAAGGCGACGAUCGGUAGCGGGUCUGAGAGGACGAUCCGCCACACUGGAACUGAGACACGGUCCAGACUCCUACGGGAGGCAGCAGUGGGGAAUUUUGGACAAUGGGCGAAAGCCUGAUCCAGCAAUGCCGCGUGAGUGAAGAAGGCCCUUGGGUUGUAAAGCUCUUUCGGUCGGGAAGAAGGAAGAAUGGCUAAUAUCCAUUCUGACAGACGGUACCGGCAUAAGAAGCACCGGCUAACUACGUGCCAGCAGCCGCGGUAAUACGUAGGGUGCAAGCGUUAAUCGGAAUUACUGGGCGUAAAGGGUGUGUAGGCGGUCUUUUAAGUCUGAUGUGAAAUCCCCGGGCUCAACCUGGGAACUGCGUUGGAAACUGGGAGACUAGAGUACGUAAGAGGGGGGUGGAAUUCCACGUGUAGCAGUGAAAUGCGUAGAGAUGUGGAGGAACACCAAUGGCGAAGGCAGCCCCCUGGGACGAUACUGACGCUGAGGCACGAAAGCGUGGGGAGCAAACAGGAUUAGAUACCCUGGUAGUCCACGCCCUAAACGAUGUCAACUAGUUGUUGGGACCGUCAAGGGUUUCAGUAACGGAGCUAACGCAUGAAGUUGACCGCCUGGGGAGUACGGCCGCAAGGUUAAAACUCAAAGGAAUUGACGGGGACCCGCACAAGCGGUGGAUGAUGUGGAUUAAUUCGAUGCAACGCGAAAAACCUUACCUACCCUUGACAUG